UACGUAGGGGGCAAGCGUUGUCCGGAAUUAUUGGGCGUAAAGAGCGUGUAGGCGGCCAGGUAGGUCGGUUGUGAAAACUGGAGGCUCAACCUUCAGAGGUCGACCGAAACCAUCUGGCUAGAGUCCGGGAGAGGAGAGUGGAAUUCCUGGUGUAGCGGUGAAAUGCGCAGAUAUCAGGAAGAACACCGGUGGCGAAGGCGGCCUUCUGGACAGUGACUGACGCUGAGACGCGAAAGCGUGGGUAGCAAACAGG
This 253-nucleotide ribosomal RNA is filed under the name uncultured bacterium. Its description in RNAcentral is "partial 16S ribosomal RNA". It matches the Rfam family "Bacterial small subunit ribosomal RNA", at positions 524 to 776 of the family's 1533-position model. The record is from RNAcentral.